AGAGUUUGAUCCUGGCUCAGGAUGAACGCUGGCGGAGUGCCUUAGGCAUGCAAGUGGAAUGUCGAUAAUCCCGCAAGGGAUGAUCGGCAUCGCAGACGGGUGAGUACAGCGUAGGAAUUUGCCCAAUGGUGGGGAAUAACUCGCCGAAAGGCGGGCUAAUACCGCAUAAGAUCGCAAGAUGAAAGGCCGUAACUGGCCGCCGAUGGAGAAGCCUACGUCCUAUCAGCUAGUUGGUGGGGUAAAAGCCUACCAAGGCUAUGACGGGUAGCUGGACUGAGAGGUUGGUCAGCCACAAUAGCACUGAGACACGGGCUAUACAUCUACGGAUGGCAGCAAAGAAUAAGCACCUGCUAACCACGUGCCAGCAGCCGCGGUAAUACGUGGGGUGCAAGCGUUAUCCGGAUUUACUGGGCGUAAAGAGUUCGUAGGCGUUUUGCCAAGUUUUGUUUGAAAGACCGAGGCUCAACUUCGGAAACGGACGAAAUACUGGCAGAAUCGAGUUAGUUAGGGGGUACUGGAACUAUCAGUGUAGCAGUGAAAUGCGUUGAUAUUGACAGGAACACCAAGGGCGAAGGCAGGUACCUGGGACUUAACUGACGCUGAGGAACGAAAGCUAGGGGAGCGAAACGGAUUAGAGACCCGUGUAGUCCUAGCCGUAAACUAUGUACGCUUGAUCCUUGAUUUCCGCCUUUGGCGGAGCUGGGGGUUGGAGCUAACGCGUGAAGCGUACCGCCUGGGGAGCAUGGCUGUCGUCAGCUCGUGCCGUGGGGUGUCGACUUAAGUGUCGAAACGAGCGCAACCCUUAUCGCAUGUUCAAUAGUCUUGCGAAACUGCCUUGCGUAUAGCGGGGAGGAAGGAGGGGAUGACGUCAAGUCAGCAUGGCGCUUAUGUCUGGGGCCACACACAUCCUACAAUGGGGAGUAACAACGGGUUGCCAAGCCGCAAGGCGGAGCUAAUCCCAUCAAACCUCCCCCCAGUUCAGAUUGAGGGCUGCAACUCGCCCUCAUGAAGACGGACUUGGUAGUAAUCGCGGAUCAGCAGGCCGCGGUGAAUACGUUCUCACUUCUUGUACACACCGCCCAUCAAGCCAGCAAAGUCGGCAAUACCUGAAACUCUGGGUUUCCCGGGGCAAGGGUAGGGUCGGCGAUGAGGGCUAAGUUGUAAAUUGUUGCAACUUGCAGGAGUAAUUC
Molecule: ribosomal RNA, 1190 nt
Filed under: Candidatus Amesbacteria bacterium GW2011_GWA1_44_24
Lineage: Bacteria; Candidatus Amesiibacteriota
Description: bacterial SSU rRNA
Rfam family: Bacterial small subunit ribosomal RNA
Source: RNAcentral